RNAcentral lists this long non-coding RNA (1283 nucleotides) under Homo sapiens (human). RNAcentral's name for it is "long intergenic non-protein coding RNA 1192". Lineage: Eukaryota; Metazoa; Chordata; Mammalia; Primates; Hominidae. The record is from RNAcentral.
AGAGAUGAAGCCAACAUAGCUCUGUGUCUCACCCAAGGCCUGCUGUAACCACUCCCUGGACAGCAUUGAAUUCAGAGCCUCACAAUUGCUGUGUUCUACUUCGCCUAGCAACCAGAGAUGAUCCCUGCAACAUGCUGCUGUUGCUGGGAGUGGGAAAGAGGUGGCAUCGGCGGUUCAAGACUGAGUUUUCUAUCUCUUCAGUGCCUCUUUCAACAAUGAAGAUCAAACCAGGUUUUGUGCAAAUAUCUGCUGAGUGAACUACUUAUUUGAAAAUACAUCAUUGGUUAAUAUUCCCUUUUGCUCAUUGAAAUCUCAAAGACUACAGACCCCGCACAAGACAUUCUGACAUUCCCGUCUUUGAAAUGAAUGACAGCAAUGAUAAAUAUGGCUCACCUCCAGAGAUACAGAUCUCACAACUUCAUAUUUUUAAUAUAAAUUAUUAAUCUGAGGUGUGGUGCAAUUCCAUUAGAUGAAAGAGAUCUACACAUUCAGAAGCACAUGAUUCUUCCCCCUUCCAUGAUUCCAGUGGCCAAUAGACAAACUACAAUAAAGCCAUGCCCUGACUGGAUGUGCCUAACAUUUGUCUGGUGCUUAAAGGAGUUGGCUGCAUGCGUGGGAUGGAGAAGGAUUCAACAUUUAAUGGCAGUUAGAAUCAAAUUUUUAACUCAAGAAGGCAGAAGGAAUCCACCUAAAUAAAUGUUGGAAAGUCACCAAAAAUAGUUCUCCAAGUCAGAAGCGGUGCAAAAGCUGCCUCAGCUCUUGGUGGAUUUUCAAUUUCUCCCAGCCAUCUCUGUUUCGCUAAAGGUUUCUGAAGACAGUGGAUAAUGAAGAUAUUAUACCAUUAUAUGCUCUUGAAUCUGUCUCAUUGUGACUUGGCGAAGAGGCAGUGAAUCUGCCAAAAAGAAGUAGAGCAGCUGUGAAGAUGCCAACACAAUUGAGUACUCUUUCUCUACAUAUUUCUAAAUAUGGCAAUUUAUUGGACACUUAUGAGCAUGGAAUGACAAUGGGGUCAAUUUAACCAUACGGCAAUGCUGAGACACCUUCAUUAUGACCUUUCCCUGGUAUAAGUUAUGUGAUAAUGAAUGCAUGUUUAGUCACACACUGUAGGUACAGAUGGGAAAAAAGAAAGCAUAAAAUAUAAAACAUGAUGUCCAGGUUUCAAAUAAGAAUUCUAAAAUGUUAUUUAAUUAAUGAAAUGAAAAUACUUUACUUUAGAAAAAGAAUAUUGAAUCUCUUUGAUGUAUAAAAUGUAUAUUUCAAAUUAAAAAUUCAAAAGAAACAAA